This 494-nucleotide ribosomal RNA is filed under the name uncultured bacterium. RNAcentral's name for it is "partial 16S ribosomal RNA". It matches the Rfam family "Bacterial small subunit ribosomal RNA", at positions 31 to 507 of the family's 1533-position model. The record is from RNAcentral.
GAACGCUGGCGGCGUGCCUAAUACAUGCAAGCCGAGCGAACGGACGAGAAGCUUGCUUCUCUGAUGUUAGCGGCGGACGGGUGAGUAACACGUGGAUAACCUACCUAUAAGACUGGGAUAACUUCGGGAAACCGGAGCUAAUACCGGAUAAUAUUUUGAACCGCAUGGUUCAAAAGUGAAAGACGGUCUUGCUGUCACUUAUAGAUGGAUCCGCGCUGCAUUAGCUAGUUGGUAAGGUAACGGCUUACCAAGGCAACGAUGCAUAGCCGACCUGAGAGGGUGAUCGGCCACACUGGAACUGAGACACGGUCCAGACUCCUACGGGAGGCAGCAGUAGGGAAUCUUCCGCAAUGGGCGAAAGCCUGACGGAGCAACGCCGCGUGAGUGAUGAAGGUCUUCGGAUCGUAAAACUCUGUUAUUAGGGAAGAACAUAUGUGUAAGUAACUGUGCACAUCUUGACGGUACCUAAUCAGAAAGCCACGGCUAACUACGUG